This is a non-coding RNA of Massarina eburnea CBS 473.64, 92 nucleotides long. The record is from the annotation of a GenBank genome assembly. Lineage: Eukaryota; Fungi; Ascomycota; Dothideomycetes; Pleosporales; Massarinaceae.
GGUCUUGUGGUCUAGAGGUAUGAUUCUCGCUUAGGGUCCAAGGAUCUGAGCACAAUUGCGAGAGGCCCCGCGUUCGAAUCGCGGCAAGACCC